UGAUUAAAUUAGUAAGAGCGUACGGUGGAUGUCUUGGCAUAUAGAGCAGAAGAAGGACGCAGAUAACGGCGAAACGCCUCGGGGAGUCGUACACAGGCAACGAUCCGGGGGUAUCCGAAUGGGGAAACCCGAUAAAGUUGAAAAUCUUUAUCAUCCUUAAGCCAAUACAUAACUUAAGAGAAGGCAACCCAGGGAAUUGAAACAUCUUAGUACCUGGAGGAGAAGAAAAUAAGAAUGAUUCCGAGAGUAGUGGCGAGCGAAAUCGGAGCAGCCCAAACCAGCAAAGAGCUGGGGUAGUAGGACCACGACAAGUGAUUGAAAAGAGAUAGUCGAAUGGCAUUGAAAGGUCAGCCACAGAAGGUGCAAGCCCUGUAGGCGAAAUCUCGAUUCACGCGAGUGGGAUCCUGAGUACGUCGGAGCACGUGAAACUCUGACGGAAGCGACCGGGACCAUCCGGCAAGGCUAAAUACUCCUAUAUGACCGAUAGUGAACCAGUACCAUGAGGGAAAGAUGAAAAGAACCGCGGGAGCGGAGUGAAAUAGAUCCUGAAACCGUAUGCUUACAAAAAGUCAGAGCACAUUAAGGUGUGAUGGCGUGCCUUUUGUAGAAUGAACCGGCGAGUUAUCUUUGCAUGCGAGGUUAAGCAGACAAUGCGGAGCCGUAGCGAAAGCGAAUCUUAAUAGGGUGGCAAGUAUGUAGAGAUAGACCCGAAGCCGUAGUGAUCUAGUCAUGAGCAGGUUGAAGGCUGGGUGAAUCCAGCUGGAGGACCGAACCGACCCCCGUUGAAAAGUUGGCGGAUGACUUGUGAUUAGCGGAGAAAUUCCAAUCGAACACGGCGAUAGCUGGUUCUCCCCGAAAUAGCUUUAGGGCUAGCGUUGAACGAAUCUACCCGGAGGUAGAGCACUGAAAUCAUGCGGGCGGCAUCUCGCCGUACCAAAUGAUAUCAAACUCCGAAUGCCGGGCAAGAAUAUUCAGCAGUCAGACUGUGGGUGAUAAGGUCCAUGGUCAAAAGGGAAACAGCCCAGAUCAUCAGAUAAGGUCCCAAAAUUUACGCUAAGUGGAAAAGGAUGUGGAGACGCGCAAACAGCUAGGAGGUUGGCUCAGAAGCAGCCAUCCUUCAAAGAGUGCGUAACAGCUCACUAGUCGAGUAUCUCUGCGCCGAAAAUUAACCGGGGCUAAGCGUAAUACCGAAUCUAUGGAUUUAUACUUAGGUAUAAGUGGUAGGGGAGCGUUCCAUACAGCAUUGAAGGUAUACCGUAAGGAGUGCUGGAGCGUAUGGAAGUGAGAAUGCCGGUGUGAGUAGCGAGAUGUGGGUGAGAAUCCCACACACCGAAAAACCAAGGUUUCCAGGGGAAGGUUCGUCCGCCCUGGGUAAGUCGGGACCUAAGGCCAGGCCGAAAGGCGUAGUCGAUGGAUAGCAGGUUGAUAUUCCUGCACCCGCGAGUAAAGUGAUGGAGUGACAGAUAGGGUUAACCAGAGUCCUAAAUGGAUUGGGCAAGGCAAGCAGGAGAGUGGCGUAGGCAAAUCCGCGUCGGAUACUCAAAGGCUUGACUCAAGCGAACGCGCGAGCAAGUAGUGAAGAAGGUGAUACCAGGUCUCGAGAAAAGCUUCUAGCGAUAAUUUACUAGCGGCCCGUACCAAAACCGACACAGGUGGUUGAGGCGAGUAGCCUAAGGUGAGCGAGAGAACUGUUGCCAAGGAACUCGGCAAAUUGACCCCGUACGUUAGCAAUAAGGGGUGCUCGAAAGAGCCGCAGUGAAUAGGCCCUAGCAACUGUUUAACUAAAACAUAGCUCUCUGCGAAGUCGCAAGACGAAGUAUAGGGGGUGACACCUGCCCGGUGCUGGAAGGUCAAGGGGAUUUGUCAGACGCAAGUCAAAGCAUUGAACCGAAGCCCCAGUGAACGGCGGCCGUAACUAUAACGGUCCUAAGGUAGCGAAAUUCCUUGUCAGGUAAGUUCUGACCCGCACGAAAGGUGUAAUGAUUUGGGCACUGUCUCGGCAGCAGACUCGGUGAAAUCUUAGUACCUGUGAAGAUGCAGGUUACCCGCAACUAGACGGAAAGACCCCAUGGAGCUUUACUGUAGUCUGCUAUUGAGUUUCGGUUAAGUAUGCACAGGAUAGGUGGGAGACGAUGAGACUGGUCUUUCGGGAUCAGAGGAGUCACUGUUGGGAUACCACUCUUACUUAAUUGAAAUUCUAACUCUAAGCCGUGAUCCGGCUAGAGGACCGUGGCAGAUGGGCAGUUUGACUGGGGCGGUCGCCUCCCAAAGAGUAACGGAGGCGCACAAAGGUACUCUCAGAAUGGUUGGAAAUCAUUCAACGAGCGCAAACGCAGAAGAGUGCUUGACUGCGAGACAAACAAGUCGAGCAGGGACGAAAGUCGGUGUUAGUGAUCCGGCGGUGCAGAAUGGAAUGGCCGUCGCUUAACGGAUAAAAGCUACCCUGGGGAUAACAGGCUGAUCUCGCCCAAGAGUUCACAUCGACGGCGAGGUUUGGCACCUCGAUGUCGGCUCAUCGCAUCCUGGAGGUGAAUUCGCUUCCAAGGGUUGGGCUGUCCGCCCAUUAAAGCGGUACGCGAGCUGGGUUCAGAACGUCGUGAGACAGUUCGGUCCCUAUCUGUUGUGGGCGUUGGAAAUUUGAGGAGAGCUGCCCCUAGUACGAGAGGACCAGGGUGGACGUUCCUACGGUGCACCAGUUGUCACGCCAGUGGCAUAGCUGGAUAGCUGAGAACGGACCGGAUAAACGCUGAAGGCAUCUAAGCGUGAAACCGACUCCAAGAUUAGAUUUCCCAUCAUUUCAAAUGAAUAAGACCCCUUGAAGACGACGAGGUUGAUAGGUCAGAGAUGUAAGUGUAGCGAUACAUUCAGUUGACUGAUACUAAUAGGUCGAAGAUUUAUUCAC
RNAcentral lists this ribosomal RNA (2902 nucleotides) under Solobacterium moorei. RNAcentral describes it as "23S ribosomal RNA". It matches the Rfam family "Bacterial large subunit ribosomal RNA". The record is from RNAcentral. Lineage: Bacteria; Bacillati; Bacillota; Erysipelotrichia; Erysipelotrichales; Erysipelotrichaceae.